This 491-nucleotide ribosomal RNA is filed under the name uncultured bacterium. RNAcentral describes it as "bacterial SSU rRNA". It matches the Rfam family "Bacterial small subunit ribosomal RNA", at positions 44 to 526 of the family's 1533-position model. The record is from RNAcentral.
CGGCCUACACAUGCAGUCGACGGUCCCAGGAAGAAGCUUGCUUCUUUGCUGACGAGUGGCGGACGGGUGAGUAAUGUCUGGGAAACUGCCUGAUGGAGGGGGAUAACUACUGGAAACGGUAGCUAAUACCGCAUAACGUCGCAAGACCAAAGAGGGGGACCUUCGGGCCUCUUGCCAUCGGAUGUGCCCAGAUGGGAUUAGCUAGUAGGUGGGGUAACGGCUCACCUAGGCCACGAUCCCUAGCUGGUCUGAGAGGAUGACCAGCCACACUGGAACUGAGACACGGUCCAAACUCCUACGGGAGGCAGCAGUGGGGAAUAUUGCACAAUGGGCGCAAGCCUGAUGCAGCCAUGCCGCGUGUAUGAAGAAGGCCUUCGGGUUGUAAAGUACUUUCAGCGGGGAGGAAGGGAGUAAAGUUAAUACCUUUGCACAUUGACGUUACCCGCAGAAGAAGCACCGGCUAACUCCGUGCCAGACCCCCGGGGAAAUAA